AACUGCAUGCAGCCAGCAAGCUCAGAUCUCAGGUCUCAGAUCUCACUCACUCGAGAGCCAAAGGUUUUGCUUUUGCUUGCAUCUCUGGAGAUGGAUGGACGAGUCUACGGAGUACAAACCGUCCCGGGUCAGAUAUAGAGCCAGCAGGGACGGGCCGGGCUGCAUCCAUGCAUACCUAACUACGGAGUAGACUCCGUAGACCUUGGUCCCACAUGCAUCAAUGAUUCCCUCGAUUGACUGUGUCGAGGAAUCCACUGCUGACCCGUCUGCAACCUCGCCCGGGCCCAGCUUGGGAUUAUCACUCACUGGUCGGGAUAACAUAUGGAGUCGAAGGAGCAUUUGACAUUUGAUAGUUUAC
This 358-nucleotide small RNA is filed under the name Histoplasma ohiense. Its description in RNAcentral is "hypothetical lncRNA". Lineage: Eukaryota; Fungi; Ascomycota; Eurotiomycetes; Onygenales; Ajellomycetaceae. The record is from RNAcentral.